This 1377-nucleotide ribosomal RNA is filed under the name Staphylococcus sp. ACT039. RNAcentral's name for it is "bacterial SSU rRNA". It matches the Rfam family "Bacterial small subunit ribosomal RNA", at positions 27 to 1383 of the family's 1533-position model. Lineage: Bacteria; Bacillati; Bacillota; Bacilli; Caryophanales; Staphylococcaceae. The record is from RNAcentral.
GGAUGAACGCUGGCGGCGUGCCUAAUACAUGCAAGUCGAGCGAACAGAUAAGGAGCUUGCUCCUUUGACGUUAGCGGCGGACGGGUGAGUAACACGUGGAUAACCUACCUAUAAGACUGGGAUAACUUCGGGAAACCGGAGCUAAUACCGGAUAACAUAUUGAACCGCAUGGUUCAAUAGUGAAAGGCGGCUUUGCUGUCACUUAUAGAUGGAUCCGCGCCGUAUUAGCUAGUUGGUAAGGUAACGGCUUACCAAGGCAACGAUACGUAGCCGACCUGAGAGGGUGAUCGGCCACACUGGAACUGAGACACGGUCCAGACUCCUACGGGAGGCAGCAGUAGGGAAUCUUCCGCAAUGGGCGAAAGCCUGACGGAGCAACGCCGCGUGAGUGAUGAAGGUCUUCGGAUCGUAAAACUCUGUUAUCAGGGAAGAACAAAUGUGUAAGUAACUGUGCACAUCUUGACGGUACCUGAUCAGAAAGCCACGGCUAACUACGUGCCAGCAGCCGCGGUAAUACGUAGGUGGCAAGCGUUAUCCGGAAUUAUUGGGCGUAAAGCGCGCGUAGGCGGUUUUUUAAGUCUGAUGUGAAAGCCCACGGCUCAACCGUGGAGGGUCAUUGGGAAACUGGAAAACUUGAGUGCAGAAGAGGAAAGUGGAAUUCCAUGUGUAGCGGUGAAAUGCGCAGAGAUAUGGAGGAACACCAGUGGCGAAGGGCGACUUUCUGGUCUGUAACUGACGCUGAUGUGCGAAAGCGUGGGGAUCAAACAGGAUUAGAUACCCUGGUAGUCCACGCCGUAAACGAUGAGUGCUAAGUGUUAGGGGGUUUCCGCCCCUUAGUGCUGCAGCUAACGCAUUAAGCACUCCGCCUGGGGAGUACGACCGCAAGGUUGAAACUCAAAGGAAUUGACGGGGACCCGCACAAGCGGUGGAGCAUGUGGUUUAAUUCGAAGCAACGCGAAGAACCUUACCAAAUCUUGACAUCCUUUGACCGCUCUAGAGAUAGAGUCUUCCCCUUCGGGGGACAAAGUGACAGGUGGUGCAUGGUUGUCGUCAGCUCGUGUCGUGAGAUGUUGGGUUAAGUCCCGCAACGAGCGCAACCCUUAAGCUUAGUUGCCAUCAUUAAGUUGGGCACUCUAAGUUGACUGCCGGUGACAAACCGGAGGAAGGUGGGGAUGACGUCAAAUCAUCAUGCCCCUUAUGAUUUGGGCUACACACGUGCUACAAUGGACAAUACAAAGGGCAGCUAAACCGCGAGGUCAAGCAAAUCCCAUAAAGUUGUUCUCAGUUCGGAUUGUAGUCUGCAACUCGACUACAUGAAGCUGGAAUCGCUAGUAAUCGUAGAUCAGCAUGCUACGGUGAAUACGUUCCCGGGUCUUG